CCUACGGGUAGCAGCAGUAGGGAAUAUUGCUCAAUGGGGGAAACCCUGAAGCAGCAACACCGCGUGGAUGAUGAAGGCUUUCGGAUUUUAAACUCUUUUUAUAGGAGAAGAUUAUGACUGUAUCUAACGAAUAAGCACCGGCUCACUCCGUGCCAGCAGCCGCGGUAAUACGGAGGGUGCAAGCGUUACUCGGAAUCACUGGGCGUAAAGAGCGCGUAGGCGGGAGUGCAAGUAAGAUGUGAAAUCCUCGGGCUUAACCCUAGUUCUGCAUUUGAUACUGUUUUUCUAGAGUGUGGGAGAGGUAAGGGGAAUGCUUGGUGUAGGGGUGAAAUGCGUAGAGAUCAGGAGGAAUAC
RNAcentral lists this ribosomal RNA (354 nucleotides) under uncultured bacterium. Its description in RNAcentral is "partial 16S ribosomal RNA". It matches the Rfam family "Bacterial small subunit ribosomal RNA", at positions 338 to 709 of the family's 1533-position model. The record is from RNAcentral.